GCCGCCGAAGCCGCCGCCCGGGCCGAGCUAACUCGGCUCCCCGCCCCCUCCCUCGGCCGCAGCACCCCCGCCCCUUAGCUCUCCGCAUGGCUGCCGCCGCGACUCCUCCUCCGCGCAAGAUGGCGAGGGCCCAGCUGCAGCCGCUGAGCCCGCCGCGGCGCCUCUGCCUCUCCUGCUUCGUGGCAGGAGAAAUCCGGGCCGAGGAACCUCCCUGGGGCGAAAAUGGAGGGUAGUGCUUUCCCACCGACUGGGGGCCCGCGGGGGCCCAAGUUGAGGGAAGUUGAAGGGAAAAUACGGGUCCCUUUCUGAAGAGAAAGAAGGGCUGCUUUUUCCACAGCUGAGGAGAAAUGAUCGGGGAAUGGUGGCUGGGAAGAGUACCCCCAGAAUGGAUGUCGGGGGCUUGGGACCCGAGGAGGAUCUGCUUAUUCCUGACCAAGGACCGGGUAGCGACUCGGGGACGGGAGAGCUGACCUGACAUCUCCCGCGGGCCGGGGAAGCUGCUGCAGGACCAAGGGGGUCGCGUCCGUUCGAGCCCCGCGCCUCCGUGCAGGAACGCGCGGAACCACUGGUAAAACAAAAAUCGGAAGCUUGAAAGUUAUCCAGGUCAAGGGAAAAUAAAAACCUGGGUCUCACCCAGUUGACAGAAAAUAUACAGGGCAAUGACGGGACCAUAUGUUGACAACAGAACUCCGACCCACAACCUCUGCUGCAACCAACACGGGAAGCCAAACCACAGCCUCUGCAGUGAUCAGCUUAGAACGAGCAGGAGUCGGUCAUUGACUGCCAGCUUCCCAAAUUUUUGCCCCUGUUACCAACUCGGGACCAAUCAGAGAAAGCCAAAUAUGUUUUUCCCCCCCCAACCAAUCACGUUAGACGCCCGGCUUCUAGUUAGCCCGCCUCCAGCUUCCCCGAGUUAACCUCCAAUCAGAGCAUACCCUGAAGCCUACUCCACCCACCCCCUUUUUUUUUCUUUUUUUU
This is a long non-coding RNA of Globicephala melas (long-finned pilot whale), 978 nucleotides long. RefSeq lists it as uncharacterized. Lineage: Eukaryota; Metazoa; Chordata; Mammalia; Artiodactyla; Delphinidae. The record is from RefSeq and is a predicted model, not a curated record.